CAGUCGAGCGGCAGCGGGAAAGUAGCUUCCUACUUUUGCCGGCGAGCGGCGGACGGGUGAGUAAUGCCUGGGGAUCUGCCCAGUCGAGGGGGAUAACAGUUGGAAAUGACUGCUAAUACCGCAUACGCCCUACGGGGGAAAGGAGGGGACCUUCGGGCCUUUCGCGAUUGGAUGAACCCAGGUGGGAUUAGCUAGUUGGUGGGGUAAUGGCUCACCAAGGCGACGAUCCCUAGCUGGUCUGAGAGGAUGAUCAGCCACACUGGAACUGAGACACGGUCCAGACUCCUACGGGAGGCAGCAGUGGGGAAUAUUGCACAAUGGGGGAAACCCUGAUGCAGCCAUGCCGCGUGUGUGAAGAAGGCCUUCGGGUUGUAAAGCACUUCCAGCGAGGAGGAAAGGUUGGCGCCUAAUACGUGUCAACUGUGACGUUACUCGCAGAAGAAGCAUCGGCUAACUCCGUGCCAGCAGCCGCGGCAAUACGGAGGGUGCAAGCGUUAAUCGGAAUUACUGGGCGUAAAGCGCACGCAGGCGGUUGGAUAAGUUAGAUGUGAAAGCCCCGGGCUCAACCUGGGAAUUGCAUUUAAAACUGUCCAGCUAGAGUCUUGUAGAGGGGGGUAGAAUUCCAGGUGUAGCGGUGAAAUGCGUAGAGAUCUGGAGGAAUACCGGUGGCGAAG
This 674-nucleotide ribosomal RNA is filed under the name uncultured bacterium. Its description in RNAcentral is "bacterial SSU rRNA". It matches the Rfam family "Bacterial small subunit ribosomal RNA", at positions 59 to 720 of the family's 1533-position model. The record is from RNAcentral.